UCGAUUGUCCGCCAUUACUUCCGCCAACUUGUCGGACCUCAGUUGAACACCGCGAGAAUAUAUAUAUGUAAACAGAAUGGUGAAAACAUGCUCGUGGGGAACUGGCAACAGUUACGGCCGAUACCCUGAUAGAUUGGAGGGCGGUGUUGUAUAUUCUACAAUUCAUGGAACCUAAAACAUACAGCUUUGGAAGUUGUGUCAGCAGCAGAUGAAAUAAAGAGGCUAGAACAACAACUACAUAGAUAUGAGCUGCUGAAUUUGCACCAUGAACAACAAAAUACUACAUCUUUCUCAAGUGUUAUAUUGAUAGUGAUAUUAAUCAGAAAUAAAAUCGAUUGACAUCCUGAAUUGUAA
Long non-coding RNA from Pecten maximus, 354 nucleotides. RefSeq lists it as uncharacterized. The record is from RefSeq and is a predicted model, not a curated record. The transcript is spliced from 2 exons. Lineage: Eukaryota; Metazoa; Mollusca; Bivalvia; Pectinida; Pectinidae.